AUUUAUUUAGUUUAAAAUAAAACAAUUUAUUUUCAUUAAAAAAAAGGAAAAUUUUCCAGUAAAUA
Molecule: transfer RNA, 65 nt
Filed under: Krisna quadrimaculosus
Lineage: Eukaryota; Metazoa; Arthropoda; Insecta; Hemiptera; Cicadellidae
Description: tRNA-Glu
Source: RNAcentral